GACGAACCGUGCGAACGUUGUUCGGAAUCACUGGGCUUAAAGGGCGCGUAGGCGGCUUGCCAAGUCCGGGGUGAAAGCCUCCAGCUCAACUGGAGAAGUGCCUUGGAUACUGGCGAGCUCGAGUGAGGUAGGGGCGGGUGGAACUUCCGGUGGAGCGGUGAAAUGCGUUGAUAUCGGAAGGAACGCCGGUGGCGAAAGCGACCCGCUGGACCUCUUCUGACGCUGAGGCGCGAAAGCUAGGGGAGCGAACGGG
Molecule: ribosomal RNA, 253 nt
Filed under: uncultured bacterium
Lineage: Bacteria
Description: partial 16S ribosomal RNA
Rfam family: Bacterial small subunit ribosomal RNA
Source: RNAcentral